UGGGGAAUAUUNUNGCNAUGGGGGGAACCCUGACGCAGCCAUGCCGCGUGAAUGAAGAAGGCCUUAGGGUUGUAAAGUUCUUUCGGUAUUGAGGAAGGUUGAUGUGUUAAUAGCACAUCAAAUUGACGUUAAAUACAGAAGAAGCACCGGCUAACUCCGUGCCAGCAGCCGCGGUAAUACGGAGGGUGCGAGCGUUAAUCGGAAUAACUGGGCGUAAAGGGCACGCAGGCGGUUAUUUAAGUGAGGUGUGAAAGCCCCGGGCUUAACCUGGGAAUUGCAUUUCAGACUGGGUAACUAGAGUACUUUAGGGAGGGGUAGAAUUCCACGUGUAGCGGUGAAAUGCGUAGAGAUGUGGAGGAAUACCGAAGGCGAAGGCAGCCCCUUGGGAAUGUACUGACGCUCAUGUGCGAAAGCGUGGGGAGCAAACAGGAUUAGAUACCCUGGUAGUCCACGCUGUAAACGCUGUCGAUUUGGGGGUUGGGGUUUAACUCUGGCGCCCGUAGCUAACGUGAUAAAUCGACCGCCUGGGGGAGUACGGCCGCAAGGUUA
Molecule: ribosomal RNA, 549 nt
Filed under: uncultured bacterium
Lineage: Bacteria
Description: bacterial SSU rRNA
Rfam family: Bacterial small subunit ribosomal RNA
Source: RNAcentral